CCUACGGGAGACAGCAGUGGGGAAUAUUGCACAAUGGGGGAAACCCUGAUGCAGCGACGCCGCGUGAGUGAAGAAGUAUUUCGGUAUGUAAAGCUCCAUCAGCAGGGAAGAAAAUGACGGUACCUGUUUAAGAAGCCCCGGCUCACUACGUGCCAGCUGCCGUGGGUCUAUGUCGGGGGCAAGCGUUAUCCGGAUUUACUGGGUGUAAAGGGAGCGUAGACGGGUACACAAGUCUGGAGUGAAAUUCCGGGGCUUAACCCCGGAUCUGCUUGUGAAACUGUGCAGCGAGAGUGCAGGAGAGGUAAGUGGAAAUCCUAGUGUAGCGGUGAAAUGCGUAGAUAUUAAGAGGAACACCAGUGGCGAAGGCGGCUUACUGGACUGUAACUGACGUUGGAGGUCGAAAGCGUGGGGAGCAAACAGGAAUAGAUACCCUUGUAGUC
This 440-nucleotide ribosomal RNA is filed under the name uncultured bacterium. RNAcentral's name for it is "partial 16S ribosomal RNA". It matches the Rfam family "Bacterial small subunit ribosomal RNA", at positions 338 to 795 of the family's 1533-position model. The record is from RNAcentral.